This 1186-nucleotide small RNA is filed under the name Pongo abelii (Sumatran orangutan). Its description in RNAcentral is "processed transcript". Lineage: Eukaryota; Metazoa; Chordata; Mammalia; Primates; Hominidae. The record is from RNAcentral.
GACUCUCCGCCCUCUGCAUAAAAUCCUACUCGAAACGUUCAGACCACAGGUGGACCCAAGAGGGGCUGCCUCUGCCCUCCUAGACCCCACUGGUCUUGUCAUACCGCUCACCUAGCUUGAUCCGCCCCACAGUCUUCGGAAUCGGCGCCAUCACAUCUACAGUGACCCGGAAAUGAAAGAGAAAAGCCUUGAGCCACGUCCCAGGGGCUGCACGUCCUUUCCCCACGUCCCGUGUGCUCCGCCUCUUGACGGGGGAGCGGGGUUGCCAGGUGGCAAGUCGGCUGGACGAGGCGCUGCAAGGAUCGGCAUUGAGGGACCAGCUCCGCAGGCGGUGCCAAGAGGAGCGGGAUCUGCUACCAGGGCUGCUGGGCCUGGUGGGGGGCGUGGCGGGUUCAGCCAGCUGUGGACUAGGGCUUGAAGAGGCUGGAUCCUUGUGGAGCCAAUACUGGACCCUCCUGUGGGCAGCCUGUGCUCAGAGUCUGGACCUAAAUCUGGGACCCUGGAGGGACCCCAGGGCAACAGCGCAACAGCUGAGUCAGGCACUGGGUCAGGCAUCCCUGCCUCAGGAGUGUGAGAAGGAGCUGGCAUCUUUGUGUCACAGACUACUUCAUCAGUCGCUUAUCUGGAGCUGGGACCAAGGUGAGAAGGAAGGGGCACUGGGGGUGACAUAAGUCCCAGGUUACCGCUUCCCCACCACACUAUACUCUCUCAUCCUCAGGUUUCUGCCAGGCCUUGGGAUCAGCUCUUGGGGGUCAGAGCAUCCUUCCCACAUCCUCUGGCACUGCUGAACUUUUGCAGCAGCUCUUUCCUCCUCUCUUGGAUGCCCUUCGAGAGCCCAGGUUACGACUGAUUUUCUGCCAGCCUGCAGAUCCUGCGCCUGUCGCCCUAGGUCUCUGUACCCUGCAGACCACCUUGCUCUGGUUCCUGGGCAGAGCUCAGCAGUACUUGGCAGCAUGGGACCCAGCUUCCUUCCUGCUCCUGAUCCAAAAGGACUUACCUGUGAGUGGCUGGGGAGUAGGGAGGGGAGCAGCCUGAGCUAGGCUGAGCCCUCACUCCCUGUUUCCACCCAAAGCCUCUGUUGCAUGAGGCAGAAGCUUUGUCUAGCCUGGCCUCAGAGGAAAGCUUAUCUCUGGAAGUGGAGCAGCAACUGGGCCUGGAGAUCCAGAAGCUGACUGCACAGAUCCAG